GCAGCCACAUUCCAGCCAAUCAGCAGCAGACCCUCCCUCCCAGGCCCUCCCACCUCCUGGACAGCAUCCAUUUUACAUUCAUUGUGAAGCUGCAUUCUUAGUGAGCUGUCCAGGAGGUGGGAGGGUCUGGGAGGGAGGGUCUGCUGCUGAUUGGCUGGAAUGUGUCUG
This 168-nucleotide microRNA precursor is filed under the name Pelobates cultripes (western spadefoot toad). Lineage: Eukaryota; Metazoa; Chordata; Amphibia; Anura; Pelobatidae. The record is from RNAcentral.